AGAUUGAAACUUGAAUGGGGGAGAGAGAGAGAGAGAGAGAGAAGCAAAACUACUUCUUCUCCUUCCUUAUUCUUUAGUUCUACUGCUAGAAAGUACCAAUGUAUGCUAAUAAUCUUGGUUCUCAAUGGCUGUUGCUCUCUCUCUCUCUCUCUCUCUCCCUCUCUCAGUAGUAUUCU
Molecule: microRNA precursor, 176 nt
Filed under: Prunus dulcis (almond)
Lineage: Eukaryota; Viridiplantae; Streptophyta; Magnoliopsida; Rosales; Rosaceae
Description: sRNA ncRNA
Source: RNAcentral